UGGGGGUGCCGGCCGCUCUGGUGGUGGGCGGGACAGCUGGAAAGACGCGGUUUGCGUCUGUCUCUCAGCAACCAGUAGAGAGAGAGAGAGAGAGAGAGAGCAUAUAGUAUGAUAUUUAUCGGGCUCCUUUCGCGGGGUGGGGGGUAAUUAUCGACAUUUUCUUUAAAAAUAAUUCGCACGAGGAGUUCUCUGACGUCUUGGUUGCUCGCAAGUCUUUUCCUCCACGUCAGCGGGCGCACGGGCCUACUUCUGACCUGGCAGACCGCGGGCCCCAAUUAUGGGGAAUCGUGCCAUCUCCACUCUACCCCUCCCCUUCCGACCCUACAUAGGGCAGGAGGUCGCCAGCUUCCUGCCUUGCGAUGCUCUCUGAGCCUCUCGGGAGCCUCGAGAGGGGCUGGUUAGGUGGGGGAGGGUGGCGCUCUCCCAGGUGCUCGAGGUAAAUAAACCAUGGCGGGAAGGAUUUCCACUUUUACAGAGAAAUAAAUGUCUGGGGUGGAGCUGGUGAGGGCUUCAGGCAGGUGAGCCGUCCGCUUCAUUUAUUUCCUUGCCAUUGCAUUGAUUCCUACUCCAGCGCUGACAUGAAAGACGGUGCCGAGACGCCUCUGGGGGCGUUCUUUAAGAGUUUCCUCAGAAGGAUGGUGCCAAUCCGAAUCUUGAGGAUUAGAAAAUGGUGGCGCUCGUAUUUGGAUGCAGUUGAGUUCCUCCGCCAUCGAUAGAAUAGGAUACUUCCCCGGUAUUUCUCCGAAUCAAAUGUCGUCCCACACAAUCUCCAGGAUAUGCCUAGAGAGUUCUCCCAACCCCACCCGAACGAGCUGUUAGCAGAUCGCUGUCCGCUGUCCGGGACCGCCUAAGUUGUCGUCUGCGGUAGGCAAACUAAGAAGCUUCGGCGGCAUUACAUUACUGCUCCAUAGUGCUCCCAUUUUUUAUUCAGUGAAACCUCUGCUGUCCAUGUAGCCAGGCGAGUUCCUCGGCGGUGGGGUUUGAAUCGGGCAGGAGCGUAGGUCUGAUGUGCUCUGACGCCGAAUUCACUCCGCGAGGAAAUGUAAUAAUUGAGGCACUAUUAGGAACUGUAUGAGGAGUCGUUACAUUGAUACAAUAACACUCUAUCAAGAUUCUUUCUUUCAUUUCAUAGGCAGGGAUGGCUACUUUUUACUGUUCAUCUCUCAUUUAGCAUCCCCAGAGCUCAGAAGCCUAGUGAGAGGUCAUAAUCUAGGAUGCCAGCAUGCGGGGCAUGCUAAGUAGGACCCGUCCCUAGAGGCCCCGACUUAGAGAGAGAUACAGAGAGAGAGAGAGAGAGAGAGAGAGAGAGUUAAGUCUGGGCCUGGCCCAUCUCUGCUCCUGAUUUGGAAGCCAAGUCUGAACUCAUUGGCUACUACUUCCAGCCUCAGUUAUAGGAUGAAUGAACGAGUGGUGAUGCAGUUGGACCAUUUUGUUUGGAAGACAAGCUGCACGGCCGAAUGCACACACACCAACAUCUGAAUCAGGAUCACUCACAUUUAGAUCAAUUACUAAAAUUGAUCAAUAAAGCUCAUAGCACAAAUGCUUCGAUGCCGAUCAUCUAAAUGGGAAUAUGAUCUUCCAAGCGAAGAAGAUACUUUUCCAGUCCUAGAACAUGCUCCGUGGGAAUAAAAGAGAGGGAUCACUGUCAUCUGAUGGCGAAAAGAAGAGCUGUAAUCUACUUGUGCUGAACAAGAAGGAUUUUCUUUGAGAUAAUGCUGAUUAAUGUGGAGUUCUACUUGUCAAAAUCUGGUUCCUUCUUCUUGCUCAAUGUUCACCGUAGAUGUGAUAAUUCCUUUACUAAAUGCAAAUUUUUGUGUUUUCUGCGCUUGAUAAGAGGUAUACUCGACAAAAAAAUAAUGGUUUCAAGUGGAAGACCAGAUUGAACUCUUCCUAGGGUCUUCACAAGCUCGCGGCUCUAUAAGUUCCCCUGUUUAGUAGUACUUCUUGCAGUGCUUAGCAAUCCUUUUACACCAUGCUAACAAUCUCUUAGUUUUUAGUUCCACCCUUUUGAUUCACGUGAGUCUUGUGGGCCAGUCAUAUUCUCCUCUAAAUUCGCAUAUAUCAAAACAAGAAGCUCAUUUCAGUGGCUUCUUGUUCAAACCUCUCGCUCUCUCUCUCUCUAGCUUGCUCCCUCUCAUGACCAUGGAUUCUCCUUUACAGGAUCUCCCUCAUUCUUUGAAACGCUAACUCUCAUGAUUCUCCAUCUCGUUUUUUUUCCUUCAACUUUUUUUUCCACCACAUUUGCAAGGUAAGCAAAGUUAGUUCUACGUUAGUAACCACGAUAAAUUUUCACUAGCUUUUUUGUGUACCGAGGAAAUUAAUAUCCAUGGUUCAUGAUAUUCUCUUGGUGCUAAAAUUAGACCUGCAAAUCUAAGUUAGAUUUGGAAAGAAGGGAAAAGGGAAUUACGCAUAAUCUUGUAGCAAUGAAAGAUGCCAUUUUGUGAGCUUGGGGUGGCUCCGUUUAAACCUUAUGAGGCCAUUCAACAAAAUAUUAAUAUUCAACGAAGACCAUCUUUAUAAAGGUUUCGUGUGAAUUGAGACUUUAUUUAGAGAAGUAUCUUCCAAUUGGUUUGGGAUUAAACCGUUAUGAACAUUACUUAGGUGAGCUACUAAAAUAUUUGAAUAUUUUCCAUACUUGAAUUUCCAUAUUGCAAGGGUUUUAGGUCAAGAUGUAAUUUUUAAAUUGUCCCUUUAUUUUUGCAACAUGUUAAAAGGCACUCUGAUUUCUAACAUUUAAAUCCGUCAUUUUUGCAAGAAUUAUUCUACCCUAUAAACAUGCUCCUGAAUAUUAUCCCCCAACUAAUGUGCCAAUAUUCGCUCUCUUUCUGACUCCCAAUCUCACUCCUCGCCCCUUCGCACCGCAGCAUCUCUCUAAUGUCAAACUAUGAUAUUAAUGGGAAGUCUAAAUUCCAAGACCGAGAUAUUUUUUUUAGAUGUGUGCGUAGAAUAUCACAGCACAAUUGGCCUGAUCGGUCCAAAAAAUACCAUUUUUUUAAUUUUUUUUAUUGGGUCUUAUUUUAGUACAAUCUGAAUUGAGGAAUAUCUGGUCGGAAGGGGCCAAUAUAUUAAACGGUCCCAUAUUUCUAUAGUUUUGUCCUCAAUAUGUCUCCGACCACGUCAACAGACAUUUUUCAUGUCCAUAGUCGGUGAUCUGCUUAUCUUCCAUUUCAUCGCCAAAAUUAAGUAUACACCCCUACCUCCCAAAAAAAUUAAGAAAGAACCCCUGCUCAGAACUUGACAAGAUCGAUGUUUUCAAUCAGAUGCCAGCCUUUGACGACGGGGAGAUUGCGUCUCGGUUACCAUCUUACUGCAGUCAACGAGGAGUGACUUGUCGGAAGGAUGAAGCUGCACGUGGGCUCCUCUUAUCAAUGGCCCGGAGGCCCAGUGAGCGGAUAAGGAUCGCGGUUGGCUGUAUCUGCUUGAGUUGUCCGACUCGCUGGCAGCCGUCUUCUUCCGGAUAUUUCCGACCUCCUCCGCAGCUGUGGCCCUUCUCCGUCUUCCGAAUUUCUUCGCCGCUCUUGGCGGCUUGGUCCAUUCGAAUAAAGAAAUCCAUCCCCGGCUCA
This 3563-nucleotide long non-coding RNA is filed under the name Spirodela polyrhiza (greater duckweed). RNAcentral describes it as "long non-coding RNA (SPOL_LNC000296)". The record is from RNAcentral. Lineage: Eukaryota; Viridiplantae; Streptophyta; Magnoliopsida; Alismatales; Araceae.